GACGAACGCUGGCGGCGUGCUUAACACAUGCAAGUCGAACGGAAAGGCCCUGCUUGCAGGGUGCUCGAGUGGCGAACGGGUGAGUAACACGUGGGUGAUCUGCCCCUUACUUUGGGAUAAGCCUGGGAAACUGGGUCUAAUACUGGAUAGGACCAUGCUGUAGGUGGUGUGGUGGAAAGAUUAGUUUCGGUAAGGGAUGAGCUCGCGGCCUAUCAGCUUGUUGGUGGGGUAAUGGCCUACCAAGGCGUCGACGGGUAGCCGGCCUGAGAGGGUGGACGGCCACAUUGGGCCUGAGAUACGGCCCAGACUCCUACGGGAGGCAGCAGUGGGGAAUAUUGCACAAUGGGCGCAAGCCUGAUGCAGCGACGCCGCGUGGGGGAUGACGGCCUUCGGGUUGUAAACUCCUUUCAGCCAUGACGAAGCCCUUGUGGUGACGGUAGUGGUAGAAGAAGCACCGGCUAACUACGU
RNAcentral lists this ribosomal RNA (468 nucleotides) under uncultured bacterium. RNAcentral's name for it is "partial 16S ribosomal RNA". It matches the Rfam family "Bacterial small subunit ribosomal RNA", at positions 28 to 506 of the family's 1533-position model. The record is from RNAcentral.